This 460-nucleotide ribosomal RNA is filed under the name uncultured bacterium. RNAcentral describes it as "partial 16S ribosomal RNA". It matches the Rfam family "Bacterial small subunit ribosomal RNA", at positions 338 to 795 of the family's 1533-position model. The record is from RNAcentral.
CCUACGGGAGGCUGCAGUGAGGAAUAUUGGUCAAUGGACGAGAGUCUGAACCAGCCCAGUAGCGUGAAGGAUGACUGCCCUAUGGUUUGUAAACUUCUUUUAUAAAGGAAUAAAACGAGGCACGUGUGCCUUUUUGCAUGUACUUUAUGAAUAAGGAUCGGCGAACUCCUUGCCAGCCGCCGCGGUACUACGGAGGAUCCGAGCGUUAUCCGGAUUUAUUGGGUUUAAAGGGAGCGUAGAUGGGUCGUUAAGUCAGUUGUGAAAGUACGCGGCUCAACCGUAAAAUUGCAAUGGAUACUGGCAGUCUUGAGUACAGUUGAGGUAAGCGGAAUUCGUGGUGUAGCGGUGAAAGGCUUAGAUAUCGCGAAGAACCCCGAUUGCGAAGGCAGCUUACUAAACUGUGACUGACAUUGAUGCUCGAAAGUGUGGGUAUCAAACAGGAUUAGAUACCCCAGUAGUC